Long non-coding RNA from Cavia porcellus (domestic guinea pig), 3848 nucleotides. RefSeq lists it as uncharacterized. The record is from RefSeq and is a predicted model, not a curated record. NCBI's taxonomy places the organism in Eukaryota, Metazoa, Chordata, Mammalia, Rodentia, Caviidae. The transcript is spliced from 3 exons.
CCAGAAGUCUGUGGAAGAGACCAGAUGUGUUUGAGUUUUGAAAAGUGGACACAUGAGGCUGUCUUGGAAGAUUCCAGGAUUGCACCAUGAAGCGGUCACAUGCUUUGGAUCCAGCCACCUCUGAAAAACCCCACCUAUAAACUCCUGAGGCUUUGGCGAGGUGUGGGGUGAACAUCUAAACAGAAGACAUAACAGCACCCCUGCUCCCCAGAGCCUGUGGAAUUAGUCAAAGUAUCCAUUCCUAAAUUUGCUCCAAUAUGUCUACCUUGCCUUGCCUGUUGCUUCCUAAGGAAACCACAUUAAAGACGCUGGACCGCACUCUCCACAAAUUCCUUUCUCUCAGCUGAACCUGGUGCUUUGCCACAGAGCCCUGCGUGGUAUGCUGUGUCCUUCUUCUGGGAACUGUAAGUUGCACACUCUUCUUUCAAGUGUGAGAAUGACUCUCCCCUUGAACCUGGACAGACCCCUGUGACACCUUUGUGUAAGAGAAGAUGGAGCAAAAGGCAGCUUCCCUCCCUGCCUUCCCUCUCCUCUCCGUGGCCCCUGGGAGCCCUGGCUGCCAUGUGGGAAGCCUGACUGCCAUGAAGCUGACAGACUGGAAGGAUCACAAAAAAGAGACUAAGAAGAGACAGAGAUGCCUGAGGAGACCUAGUGGGUCCAGUUUAUUAGGCCCUGGAGACCAUGAAGAGAGACAAGCCAUUUCAGCUGUGUCUAUUGGAAUUUACAUGAGGACAGUAAAUGAAUGUUCAUGCCACUGCUUUGGGAUAAUUUGUUACACAGCCAUGGUAACUGAAACAGUGAGUCUGGUGGGGUCCCAGUUUUUUGUCUUGGGUGGCCUAGAGCAUCUCUACUUGGCAAGUGUUGGAAGCAGCAGGGCGCAUUUUCAAAUGCAGUCAGAUCCUGUGGUUUCAGGGUUUAGAAUUUAGUUUAGCUUCUAAUCAGGCUCAGACUACAACUCCCUGGAGCAUCUUCCAUCAUGGAAGGGUUUGUGAAAGCAAAUAAGAAUGGCCAGCAGAGUGAGGGGGAUGCUUUGGUCACCCAAGAACUCAACUGAUUUCCAGGAGACCCAGCCAAGUGUACAUCACUCUCUACACACAAAUGAUCAAUAUGUUUACCACCAAUCCUUGUGCGUUCACAGAAGUGGGCCCCUGAGGACCUAGUUAUGGAAAUUACAGUAAGGUUUGUUAGACUUAGAGCUUGGCUAACGUCAGUCACGUCACCUGUACAUAAAAAAAAAAAAAAGAAAAGAAAAAUUGAUGAGCAUUUCCCAAUGGUUAUUAAAAAUUCAACUUUUACUUUUGGAGAUUAGACCAGCUCCAGUACUGGCCUGGUGUGGGAAUCACUGCUAGUUCUUAUUGAGAGCUUUGAAUUUACCACACAGGCUCUGUGCAAGGUGCUGCCACCUGGAAUAUUUGCACUGAAUCUUUGAAGAAGAAGGCUCUGUAAUAAUUCUUGUUUUGCACAUGAAGAUCAUGCACCAGAGAGGACAAGUGACUUGUUCCUUGGGCACCCAGCAGCCUGAUUCCAGAAACUGACUGGCUGAUCAUGUCGACUCAGCUUCUACAAAGAAGCUUUGUUGAUCUUCCCAAACCAUCUGGUGGAGGGCAGCUGGUGUAGCAUCGGAGUUCAUGAGUUUCCCAGUUUGGAAGAUGCUCUAUGUAUUUGCAUGGGUGGGAGAUUGCCUUAAGCUGUGGGAGCUGUGGGCUCUGUGACCUUGGGCAAGUCAUCGUCUCUGGGGAAGCCUGGGCUUCAGGAUCCCUAAGUCUCCUUCCCAAUCUUGUCACGAACAGCAAAUAUCCCCUUAGGUUAUAGCUCCUGUUUGCAAAGCAUGCUACACAGAUGCCUUAAUUAAUUAUUCAGGCUGACAUCUCCAGCUCCCAAAUCAGAAGGUUGAGAAAAGAUCAUAGGAAUAUAAUCAAUGUGAACUUGACCAAUAAUCGCUGGUCCCAGGAUGGUGCAAAGAGAAGAAAACCCUCCAAAUUGGUCUUCUCUUACACUUUGGCUGGUUCUGCCAGCGGCCAAGAUAAAACCAUCCUCUUUAAUAAUUAAUGAGCAGGAGCCAGUGUCCCUGGCCUGGGCCCCACAGGAGGCCCCUAGAGGUGGCUGUGCUUCUGGAAGCGGGCAUGUGUGUGCACAUCCACCUGUGCCAGCCUGGUCGGGGGUGCACACACACGAGUCACAGCGGCUGACCCAGCAAAGUGCUGCGAGUGUGACCGGAAUGAAGGGUUGCUCCGUCUGUCUCUGAGGUGGCGUGGCAGAUCAAAUCACAGCGGAUCAGGCACCGAGAUGUUGCCUUGCUCUGAGUGACAGAAGUUAAUAAUUAGUGACAAUGAUUGACAGAUACACUCCAUCUGCUGCUCUGACGCCUAGGAGCAGUUAUUCCACAACUGUCUGCGGGCACAAUGAACUCCCCCGGGAGCGCAGGCUGGCCUGUGAUUGACAGCUGCCUCCUAGAGAGACAGACCACUGAUGGGAAAGUUGCUGUCAGCAGAAGCACUCCGGUCCUCCCGUGUUCCUGAGGAAGCUCACUUGCUGUAUACAUUUAUUCUGUUUCAUUUAUCAUGUCAGCCGUGGUUUUAAAUAGAUUACUAGCUAGCCCGUUUUUAAACUGGAGAGUUUUCUACCUGUAAAUUAGAAAUAUCCACGUAUGUCGCAGUCUACUUCCUGGGACUCAAGUCUUCCUGUUUGUUCUCGGGGUAAAUCCAGGAGAGGAAGGUAGGAGCUCGCCUGGGUUGCAGACACAACUGAUCUUUCCAUUAAAAUCAAAAUGGAAUCUUUAACUGAAACCUUGCAAAAUGGUACUGAGCAUUAGUUGGCAAACUUGGUCUCAAAAGUCCAAACUAAACUAUGAAAGCUAUUUUUCCCCCCUAAGAAAUAAAGAUGUUGCUGAGCUUAUCUUUAGAUGAUGUAACUUGUAAUAGUUGUUCUUUCAGUGAUGUUUUUGCAUUUUUAGACAAUGAGAAUGCCUUGACAGUUUGGAAUCUAGCUUUCUCAGGAUAAGCUGUUGAUUAUUUCGUGGUUGCAUGGUCAAAAUCUGGUAUUAACUAGCUGAGUGAUCUUAAGAGUGGAUUACAGUUCCACUGAUACCAAAGUGCUUGUCCCCGUUUCUCCUCCCUUUAUUUUUGUGCUAAAUUAAAGCUUAGCUUUAAACCAGCCCACAUGUAACUGGGGGACUCGGACUUCUUUUAGUUCCUUUAUAAAUAGGAAAGUAGACAUAUACAGUAUGUAUUUCCACUAGACGAACUAUCAUCACCUAAUUGUUCCUGCUUAUAGUUUGUUUGGUUUUCUGGAAAAAAUGCAAUUUAAUUUCACUUCAUCUAGGCUCCCACAGAUGUGCUUUUGGGUCAUAACUUCUCUCUCUGUCUGUCCCCCUGUAGUCUCAGCAUAAUGUAAAGGACUGCCCAUCGCGUUAUGAGUAAAAGCCUACUUAUAUCCCGCUAUUUAAAAUACAGUGAACCCUGUUGAUAUUGAUCUCAUAUGGGAUGUUUUCCCGCAUAUGAUGUCCAGCUCUUAAAGUAUGGGUCAUGUUUCCUCUUAAGAUGUUUUCUUAUCUUAUUCCCCUAAAAUGAUAUAAACAGUUUCAGUAUUCUUGAUAAUUAGGUAUGCGGGUAAAGAAAAGACAUCCUGUUCUUUUUCAAGUUUUUAAAUGAUCAGGAUACCAGAAAAUGAAGUCAUAGUGAGUACAAAUGUUGCCUCUCAUCCAGGGAUCUGCUUUCCUUCUUGAUUCUAUAAAAAGGAAAUUUAUCAGGAUACAAGAUGUUAGAGGCGCCUUAGCCCCUGCCUUGACUGAGUGGGCCACCCUCAGAGCUGCCCUGGAACAACCCACUUGUCUGGCCUCAAGUUAAAUG